GCUGGCGUAGCUCAAUGGCAGAGCAACUGCCUUGUAAGCAGUAGGUUGUGGGUUCGAAUCCCUCCGCCAGCUCCA
RNAcentral lists this transfer RNA (75 nucleotides) under Coriobacteriia bacterium. Its description in RNAcentral is "tRNA-Thr". It matches the Rfam family "tRNA". Rfam says of the family: Transfer RNA (tRNA) molecules are approximately 80 nucleotides in length. Their secondary structure includes four short double-helical elements and three loops (D, anti-codon, and T loops). The record is from RNAcentral. Lineage: Bacteria; Bacillati; Actinomycetota; Coriobacteriia.